RNAcentral lists this ribosomal RNA (116 nucleotides) under Klebsiella oxytoca. Lineage: Bacteria; Pseudomonadati; Pseudomonadota; Gammaproteobacteria; Enterobacterales; Enterobacteriaceae. The record is from RNAcentral.
CCUGGCUGCAGUAGCGCGGUGGUCCCACCUGACCCCAUGCCGAACUCAGAAGUGAAAAGCCGUAGCGCCGAUGUUAUUGUGGGGUCUACCAAUUUUAGAGUAUGUAACUUCCAGGC